UACGAAGGGUGCAAGCGUUACUCGGAAUCACUGGGCGUAAAGCGUGCGUAGGCGGUUUCUUAAGUCUGUCGUGAAAGCCCUGGGCUCAACCUGGGAACGGCGAUGGAUACUGGGAAGCUAGAAUGUGAGAGAGGAUGGUGGAAUUCCCGGUGUAGCGGUGAAAUGCGCAGAUAUCGGGAGGAACACCGGUGGCGAAGGCGGUUCUCUGGGCCUUACCUGACGCUGAGGAGCGAAAGCGUGGGGAGCGAACAGG
RNAcentral lists this ribosomal RNA (253 nucleotides) under uncultured bacterium. RNAcentral's name for it is "partial 16S ribosomal RNA". It matches the Rfam family "Bacterial small subunit ribosomal RNA", at positions 524 to 776 of the family's 1533-position model. The record is from RNAcentral.